RNAcentral lists this long non-coding RNA (479 nucleotides) under Homo sapiens (human). RNAcentral describes it as "HSALNT0331899". The record is from RNAcentral. Lineage: Eukaryota; Metazoa; Chordata; Mammalia; Primates; Hominidae.
CCCAUUUGGCUCCUCCGCCGGGGGCGCCCCCAGGCUGGGCAGGCUGGCUCCCCGUCCCCCUAACCCCGCCGCCCGGGCACCCCUCGUCUGCGGGCGCGGGGUCCAAGUGUCCCCUGUCCAGGGCGGGCAGAAAGGAGAAGUCGCAAUCUCGGUUGAAGUCUCUUCCCCGCCUCCUUCGUGCACUUCAAGGCUGCCUCGGCCCCGCGCCCCUCCCGCGUCCCCGGCCCCGCACCUUGCCGCAGCGGCCCCUGCGCCAGUUCGGACCGGUCCUCGGGAAAGGCGUCGCGCAGGCGCUGCCACAGGCGGCCCAGGUCCGCCAGGCUGCGGUGCAGGUAGAGCACGCUGCGGUCCGACCACUCCGUGCGGAUCUCGAAGAACUCCUCUUCGUCGCCGCGCCGGCUGACGAUGAGCCUGCGGAUGCCGUUCACCCAGCAGCCGCGCACGAACAUGUUCACGAGCGACGUGCCCUCAAACACCGC